AGGCCUUUAGGAUAAGGUUGAGG
RNAcentral lists this small nuclear RNA (23 nucleotides) under Arabidopsis thaliana (thale cress). Its description in RNAcentral is "snRNA_05280". Lineage: Eukaryota; Viridiplantae; Streptophyta; Magnoliopsida; Brassicales; Brassicaceae. The record is from RNAcentral.